Molecule: ribosomal RNA, 440 nt
Filed under: uncultured bacterium
Lineage: Bacteria
Description: partial 16S ribosomal RNA
Rfam family: Bacterial small subunit ribosomal RNA
Source: RNAcentral
CCUACGGGAGGCAGCAGUGGGGGAUAUUGCACAAUGGGGGAAACCCUGAUGCAGCGACGCCGCGUGUGGGAAGACGGUCCUCUGGAUUGUAAACCACUGUCCCCAGGGACGAAGAUGACGGUACCUGGGGAGGAAGCUCCGGCUAACUACGUGCCAGCAGCCGCGGUAAUACGUAGGGAGCGAGCGUUGUCCGGAAUUACUGGGUGAAAAGGGAGCGUAGGCGGGACUGCAAGUUGGGUGUCAAAUCUACCGGCUCAACCGGUAGCCGCACUCAAAACUGAAGUUCUUGAGUGAAGUAGAGGCAGGCGGAAUUCCUAGUGUAGCGGUGAAAUGCGUAGAUAUUAGGAGGAACACCAGUGGCGAAGGCGGCCUGCUGGGCUUUUACUGACGCUGAGGCUCGAAAGUGUGGGGAGCAAACAGGAUUAGAUACCCGAGUAGUC